RNAcentral lists this unclassified non-coding RNA (675 nucleotides) under Hevea brasiliensis (rubber tree). The record is from RNAcentral. Lineage: Eukaryota; Viridiplantae; Streptophyta; Magnoliopsida; Malpighiales; Euphorbiaceae.
GGUUUACUUAGCAUACCAGAAGAUGAAAUUGAUUUUCAGAAGAUGCCUUUCAAAGAUAUUAUUUUGCUUGCAGGGCACAAGGAGAGUUUAGCUACUAAAGAGGCAAAAGCUUCAAAGAAUGCCUCAACCAAUAAAAGCACUACCAAUUCUUUCCAUGGGAAGGAUUCUCAUAAUGAAGAGGAUAUUGGUAUUUCAGAGCAAUACGGAGGCUGCGUUGAUGAUCAAUCAAACUUCUUAUUCAAUUACCAUUCCUUCAUGGAUAAAACACCAACUGCAAGAUGGUCAAAACAAGACACAGAGUUGUUCUAUGAGGGAAUUCGGCAAUUUGGGACUGAUCUAUCAAUGAUACAACAACUUUUCCCUGGACGAACACGUCAUCAAAUAAAGUUGAAAUUUAAGAAGGAGGAGCGUCAACAUCCAUUAAGGCUUUCUGAAGCUCUGAAUAGUCGCGCUAAAGAUCAUUCGUAUUAUGAAAAAGUGAUUGAGCAGCUGCAACAAGUUGCUGCUCAGGCGGAGCAAGAGUCUAACAGAGGUAACUCAGUCAGUUUGACAGAUGAGGAGGCAGAGUUGAAUCCUGAAACUAAUGAAGAAGUGGCAAAAUCUGAUGAGCAAGAGAUGAUAUAUAUGCUAUUUACUAUUAUAUUUCUUCAUAUGGAGUACUAAAAUCACUCGGGG